This is a small nuclear RNA of Protopterus annectens (West African lungfish), 158 nucleotides long. RefSeq annotates it as U1 spliceosomal RNA. Lineage: Eukaryota; Metazoa; Chordata; Ceratodontiformes; Protopteridae. The transcript has a single exon. The record is from RefSeq and is a predicted model, not a curated record.
GUACUUACCUGGUAGGGGAGAGACCAUGAUCACAAAGGUGUUUCUCCAAGGGUGAGGCUCCUCCAUUGCACUUUGGAGGGGUUGACCCCUUUGAUUUCCCCAAAUGUGGGAAACUGAACCGCAUAAUUUAUUACAAAGACAUGCAUCUGGAUUGUUUC